UGCAUCGGAACGUAUCCUGUAAUGGGGGAUAACGUAGCGAAAGUUACGCUAAUACCGCAUACGCUCGAGAGAGGAAAGUGGGGGAUCGCAAGACCUCACGUUAUAGGAGCGGCCGAUGUCCGAUUAGCUAGUUGGUGGGGUAAAGGCCUACCAAGGCGACGAUCGGUAGCUGGUCUGAGAGGAUGAUCAGCCACACUGGGACUGAGACACGGCCCAGACUCCUACGGGAGGCAGCAGUGGGGAAUUUUGGACAAUGGGCGAAAGCCUGAUCCAGCCAUGCCGCGUGCGGGAAGAAGGCCUUCGGGUUGUAAGCCGCUUUAGUCCGGGAAAAAGGGGUGCGAGGAUAAUACCCUCGUGCUUUGAUGGUACUGGAAGAAUAAGCACCGGCUAACUACGUG
RNAcentral lists this ribosomal RNA (398 nucleotides) under uncultured beta proteobacterium. RNAcentral describes it as "bacterial SSU rRNA". It matches the Rfam family "Bacterial small subunit ribosomal RNA", at positions 114 to 507 of the family's 1533-position model. Lineage: Bacteria; Pseudomonadati; Pseudomonadota; Betaproteobacteria. The record is from RNAcentral.